AAAGCGGCUCUUUUAAGAGCCAUCAUUUUUGCUAAACGAAUUAAA
This 45-nucleotide non-coding RNA is filed under the name Paramuricea clavata. It matches the Rfam family "Histone 3' UTR stem-loop". From Rfam's summary of the family: The mRNAs of metazoan histone genes lack a poly-A tail. 3' end processing occurs at a site between a highly conserved stem-loop (modelled by this family) and a purine rich region around 20 nts downstream (the histone downstream element, or HDE). Lineage: Eukaryota; Metazoa; Cnidaria; Anthozoa; Malacalcyonacea; Plexauridae. The record is from RNAcentral.